AUUGAACGCUGGCGGUAGGCUUAACACAUGCAAGUCGAGCGGGGUGAUGGUGCUUGCACUAUCACUUAGCGGCGGACGGGUGAGUAAUGCUUAGGAAUCUGCCUAUUAGUGGGGGACAACAUCUCGAAAGGGAUGCUAAUACCGCAUACGUCCUACGGGAGAAAGCAGGGGAUCACUUGUGACCUUGCGCUAAUAGAUGAGCCUAAGUCGGAUUAGCUAGUUGGUGGGGUAAGGGCCUACCAAGGCGACGAUCUGUAGCGGGUCUGAGAGGAUGAUCCGCCAAACUGGGACCGGGACACGGUCCAGACUCAUACGGGAGGCAGCAGUGGGGAAUAGUGGACCAUGGGGGGAACCCUGAUCCAGCCAUGCCGCGUGUGUGAAGAAGGCCUUAUGGUUGUAAAGCACUUUAAGCGAGGAGGAGGCUCUUUUGGUUAAUACCCAAGAUGAGUGGACGUUACUCGCAGAAUAAGCACCGGCUAACUCGGUGCCAGCAGCCGCCGUAA
This 503-nucleotide ribosomal RNA is filed under the name uncultured bacterium. Its description in RNAcentral is "partial 16S ribosomal RNA". It matches the Rfam family "Bacterial small subunit ribosomal RNA", at positions 30 to 523 of the family's 1533-position model. The record is from RNAcentral.